Molecule: ribosomal RNA, 253 nt
Filed under: uncultured bacterium
Lineage: Bacteria
Description: partial 16S ribosomal RNA
Rfam family: Bacterial small subunit ribosomal RNA
Source: RNAcentral
UACGUAGGGUGCAAGCGUUAAUCGGAAUUACUGGGCGUAAAGCGUGCGCAGGCGGUGAUGUAAGACAGGUGUGAAAUCCCCGGGCUUAACCUGGGAACUGCAUUUGUGACUGCAUCGCUGUAGUGCGGCAGAGGGGGAUGGAAUUCCGCGUGUAGCAGUGAAAUGCGUAGAUAUGCGGAGGAACACCGAUGGCGAAGGCAACCCCCUGGGCCUGCACUGACGCUCAUGCACGAAAGCGUGGGGAGCAAACAGG